Molecule: ribosomal RNA, 696 nt
Filed under: uncultured bacterium
Lineage: Bacteria
Description: bacterial SSU rRNA
Rfam family: Bacterial small subunit ribosomal RNA
Source: RNAcentral
CAUGCAAGUCGAGCGGUAACAGAAAGUAGCUUGCUACUUUGCUGACGAGCGGCGGACGGGUGAGUAACGCUUGGGAACAUGCCUUGAGGUGGGGGACAACAGUUGGAAACGACUGCUAAUACCGCAUAAUGUCUACGGACCAAAGGGGGCUUCGGCUCUCGCCUUUAGAUUGGCCCAAGUGGGAUUAGCUAGUUGGUGAGGUAAUGGCUCACCAAGGCAACGAUCCCUAGCUGGUUUGAGAGGAUGAUCAGCCACACUGGGACUGAGACACGGCCCAGACUCCUACGGGAGGCAGCAGUGGGGAAUAUUGCACAAUGGGCGCAAGCCUGAUGCAGCCAUGCCGCGUGUGUGAAGAAGGCCUUCGGGUUGUAAAGCACUUUCAGUCAGGAGGAAAGGUUAGUAGUUAAUACCCGCUAGCUGUGACGUUACUGACAGAAGAAGCACCGGCUAACUCCGUGCCAGCAGCCGCGGUAAUACGGAGGGUGCGAGCGUUAAUCGGAAUUACUGGGCGUAAAGCGUACGCAGGCGGUUUGUUAAGCGAGAUGUGAAAGCCCCGGGCUCAACCUGGGAACUGCAUUUCGAACUGGCAAACUAGAGUGUGAUAGAGGGUGGUAGAAUUUCAGGUGUAGCGGUGAAAUGCGUAGAGAUCUGAAGGAAUACCGAUGGCGAAGGCAGCCACCUGGGUCAACACUGACG